RNAcentral lists this ribosomal RNA (609 nucleotides) under uncultured bacterium. RNAcentral describes it as "bacterial SSU rRNA". The stretch from base 1 to 522 matches the Rfam family "Bacterial small subunit ribosomal RNA", at positions 338 to 873 of the family's 1533-position model. The record is from RNAcentral.
CCUACGGGAGGCAGCAGUGGGGAAUUUUCCGCAAUGGGCGAAAGCCUGACGGAGCAACGCCGCGUGAGGGAUGAAGGCCUCUGGGCUGUAAACCUCUUUUAUCAAGGAAGAAGAUCUGACGGUACUUGAUGAAUAAGCCACGGCUAAUUCCGUGCCAGCAGCCGCGGUAAUACGGGAGUGGCAAGCGUUAUCCGGAAUUAUUGGGCGUAAAGCGUCCGCAGGCGGUCUUGUAAGUCUGUCGUUAAAGCGUGGAGCUUAACCCCAUUUCGGCGGUGGAAACUACAAGACUAGAGUGUGGUAGGGGCAGAGGGAAUUCCCGGUGUAGCGGUGAAAUGCGUAGAUAUCGGGAAGAACACCAGUGGCGAAGGCGCUCUGCUGGGCCAUAACUGACGCUCAUGGACGAAAGCUAGGGGAGCGAAAGGGAUUAGAUACCCCCUGUAGUCCUAGCCGUAAACGAUGAACACUAGGUNUCGGGGGAAUCGACCCCCUCGGUGUCGUAGCUAACGCGUUAAGUGUUCCGCCUGGGGUGGUACGCGACGCAGUAGUGAACGUACAAUAGAAUUAGUACGGCGUGAGACGUGCCGACGGACGACGACCGAGGGAGGUAGG